CGAACAAGGUCUCCGUUGGUGAACCAGCGGAGGGAUCAUUA
This 41-nucleotide ribosomal RNA is filed under the name Annulohypoxylon michelianum. Its description in RNAcentral is "partial 18S ribosomal RNA". The record is from RNAcentral. Lineage: Eukaryota; Fungi; Ascomycota; Sordariomycetes; Xylariales; Hypoxylaceae.